UCAGAUUUCUGUAUCAAAUCCUUCUGUAUCUUCGAUCUUUAUUUUCAUUUUCCAGAUCUGCGAUGAAAGUUGAAAGGUAAGCCAUCUAAAUCUCUAAUUUUCAUAUGUUCAAUAUCUUUAACACAAUUUUGCUUUGAAAUAAACUAGCGAGAAUAUGGUACCAAAAAUUUAUCUGAAAUUGUUUAAUCUUAUGACCUUGAUUUAUUUUUGGUUUGUAAUUAAUAAAUUAUGGACAAGUUAAUGGUUCUUUUAUGAACUUGUUUGCACUAUUUUUUAAGCUCUUCAAUGGAAUAUCAUAUUAUUUACAAUAUCUCAUUUUCUUUUCUGUUUUUCUUUGUUUGUUUGCUAAAAACCUGUAAAGAAUGCAUACAUACAUUUUUAUAAAUAAACAAAAAUAUAACUCUUCAAUUAGUUCUAAAUUUUUAAAACCUUAUAUAGACUUUAUAUAAUUAAGUGUAUGACUAUGGUAUAUUGCACAGCUUGAGGCAAUUACUUCCAUUCUGGGGAUGGAAUUUAAUUCAUUGGUUAUCAGUAGUAAAACCUUGCUCCAUUUUGAAUUAAGCUGUUACAAGAUUAGGAGUGAUAACCUUGCUCCAUUUUGAAUUAAGCUGUUACAAGAUUAAGAGUGAUAACCUUGCUCCAUUUUGAAUUAAGCUGUUACAAGAUUAAGAGUGAUGAGAAGCAUCAGCUAACUUCUUCCGGAAACAGUGGCAAAACAGCUGAAAUGUUAUUUUUAUUGACCUUUGGUGAAGAAGAUCUGCAUCAUGGAAAACUUAAUGCAU
RNAcentral lists this long non-coding RNA (782 nucleotides) under Trifolium pratense (red clover). RNAcentral's name for it is "long non-coding RNA (TPRA_LNC013966)". Lineage: Eukaryota; Viridiplantae; Streptophyta; Magnoliopsida; Fabales; Fabaceae. The record is from RNAcentral.